UGUGUGUGUGUGUGUGUGUGUGUGUGAUGUGUGUGCAUGUGCAUAUUCCAAUAUACAUAAACACACACACACACACAUGUAUGCGUGUGUGUGUGUGCAUGAAUAUAUUCAUACCGAUAUAUUCAACAGGAAAUUAGAGAAAGAGAUAACAGUUCAAACAAACAAACAAUAACAUCCUUGAACAAGCCAAGCGGAAAACGGGAGCCUGAACAGAUGAGUGAAUCUUCAGAAGUUUCCGUUCUUGUACAGGAAAAAAAAAGAUGUGUCAGUGUAUGAAGGUCAAUCCGAAAUUACAGUGUUUGUGAGCUCAAGGACGCCAUAUUUGAAGUCGCCUUGUGUGUAUGUGCAUAUAUUUCUCUGGCGUUUAAAAGAAAGCUGUGGAUUUUUCGUAAACGCCACAUUGUAAAUAAAAGAAUGAAAUAGGAAAACAGAGGACGACGGUCAUACCAGCGUAUAACUAGUGCACAGAGACACUAAAAGUAAGGGAACGUAUGUGUGUCCUUUCUCGUGGCUGCGUCACUGAUACGUCAUGCUUACGUCAUAAUAUACCCAGCAUGAUGACGCCACAGAACUUGCCUUGAGAAUGAAGCGAACAGUGAACGAAAAUGUACCGAAAUCAAUCGAAAUCAGAUGAAUAACUGUAAAAUGUAUGUCUGUAGUCUUGUAAAGAUAGUUAGCAGAUGUUUAAAACGCCGGAAUACUCCAAAGAUAGAUGAAAUCAAGAAAAUGGAGGAAAAGAGAGAAAAAAAACAAACAAACAAAAAAGUGUCAGUUUAUCCUUCAGAAGUAACUGUGCGUGUUCAGGUGAUGUUCUACUGUUUUGUACUCUUCUG
Molecule: non-coding RNA, 833 nt
Organism: Penaeus vannamei (Pacific white shrimp)
Lineage: Eukaryota; Metazoa; Arthropoda; Malacostraca; Decapoda; Penaeidae
Source: RefSeq, a predicted model, not a curated record